AUUUAAUACUGUGGAGGGAGGUAAGGGGGAAAUGAAAGCAAAAAGCAUAAUCAGGGAAUAAUAAAAUGGCAGGAAAUACAGGAUUAGUAGUUUUAACUAUAAAUGUGAAUGGGGUGAACUCUCCUAUAAAAAGGAGGUGGAUAGCAGACUGGAUUAAAAGCCAGGAUCUUACAAUAUGUUGUUUACAGUAAAUUUAUUUGAGACAGGAUGAUACAGAGUAAAAGAUAAAAGGCUAGAGCAGAAUCUACUAUGCUUCAGGUGAAGUCAAAAAAGCAGGGAUAACCAUCCUCAUCUCAGAUAAAGCAAAAACAAAAAGUGAUCUAAUUAAAAGGGAUAAGGAAGGAAACUAUAUCUUGCUAAAGGGUAUCAUGGAUAAUGAAACAAAAUCAAUACUAAACAUAUAUACAACAAGUAGUAUAGCAGGUAAAUUUCUAUUUUUUUUUAAAUAGCCUUUUAUUUACAGGUUAUAUAUAUGGGUAACUUUACAGCAUUGAUAAUUGCCAAACCUCUUGUUCCAAUUUUUUCCCUCCUUCCACCCACUCCCUCCCCCAAAUGGCAGGAUGACCAGUAGAUGUUAAAUAUAUUAAAAUAUAAAUUAGAUACACAAUAAGUAUACAUGACCAAACCGUUAUUUUGCUGUACAAAAAGAAUCGGACUUUGAAAUAUUGUACAAUUAGCUUGUGAAGGAAAUCAAAAAUGCAGGUGGGCAAAAUUAUAGGGAUUGGGAAUUCAAUGUAAUGGUUUUUAAUCAUCUCCCAGAAUUCUUUCACUGAGUGUAGCUGGUUCAGUUCAUUACUGCUCUAUUGGAACUGAUUUUGUUGAUCUCAUUGCUUAGGAUGGCCAGGUCCAUCAGAAUAGAUGAUCAUAUAAUAUUGUUGUUGAAGUAUAUAAUGAUCUCCUGGCCCUGCUUGUUUCACUCAGCAUCAGUUUGUGUAAGUCUCUCCAGGCCUUUCUGAAAUCAUCCUGUUGGUCAUUUCUUACUGAAAAAUAAUAUUCCCUAAUAUUCAUAUACCACAAUUUAUUCAGCUAUUCUCCAAUUGAUGGGCAUCUACUCAUUUUCCAGUUUCUGGUCACUACAAAGAUGGCUGCCACAAACAUUAGUGAACAUACAAGUCCCUUUCCCUUCUUUAUGAUCUCUUUGGGAUAUAAACCCAGUAGUAACACUGCUGGAUCAAAGGGUAUGCACAGUUUGAUAACUUUUUGAGCAUAGUUCCAAAUUGCUCUCCAGAAGGUUGGAUGUAUUCCCAAUUAUACCAAAAUGUAUUAGUGUCCCUGUUUUCCCACAUAACCUGAACAUUCCGCAUUAUCUUUUCCUGUCAUUCUGGCCAGGCUGACAGGUGUGUAGUGGUAUCUCAGAGUUGUCUUAAUUUGCAUUUCUCUGAUUAAUAAUGACUUGGAGCAACUUUUCUUUUCUUUUUUUUUUUUUUUUUUAUUUAAUAGCCUUUUAUUUACAGGUUAUAUGUAUGGGUAACUUUACAGCAUUAACAAUUGCCAAACUUCUUGUUUCAAUUUUUCACCUCUUACCUCCCAUCCCCUCACCCAGAUGGCAGGAUGACCAGUAGAUGUUAAAUAUAUUAAAAUAUAAAUUAGAUACACAAUAAGUAUACAUGACCAAACUGUUAUUUUGCUUUACAAAAAGAAUCAGACUCUGAAAUAUUGUACAAUUAGCUUGUGAAGGAAAGCAAAAAUACAGGUGGGCAUUGUUUAUAGGGAUUGGGAAUUCAAUGUAAUGGUUUUUAGUCAUCACCCAGAGUUCUUUCUCUGAGUAUAGCUGGUUCAGUUCAUUACUGAUCCAUUUGAAAUGAUUUGGUUGAUCUCAUUGCUGAGGAUGGCCAGGUCCAUCAGAACUGGUCAUCAUACAGUAUUGUUGUUGAAGUAUAUAAUGAUCUCCUGAUCCUGCUCAUUUCACUCAGCAUCAGUUCGUGUUAGUCUCUCCAGGCCUUUCUGAAAUCAUCCUGUUGGUCAUUUCUUACAGAAAAAUAAUAUUCCAUAAUAUUCAUAUACCACAAUUUAUUCAGCCAUUCUCCAAUUGAUGGGCAUCCAUUCAGUUUCAAGUUUCUAGCCACUACAAAAAGGACUGCCACAAACAUUCAUGCACAUACAGGUCCCUUUCCCUUCUUUAUGAUCUCUUUGGGAUAUAAGCCCAGUAGUAGUACUGCUGAAUCAAAGGGUAUGCACAGUUUGAUAACUUUUUGAGCGUAGUUCCAAAUUGCUCUCCAGAAUGGAUGGAUGUAUUCACAAUUAUACCAAAAUGUAUUAGUGUCCCUGUUUUCCCACAUAACCUCCAACAUUCCGCAUUAUCUUUUCCUGACAUUCUAGCCAGUCUGACAGUGUGUAGUGGUAUCUCAGAGUUGUCUUAAUUUGCAUUAAUAAUGACUUGGGCCAUCUUUUCAUAUGGCUAGAAAUAGUUUCAAUUUCUUCAUCUGAGAAUUGUCUGUUCAUAUCCUUUGACCAUUUGUCAGCUGGGGAAUGGCUUGAUUUCUUAUAAAUGAGUCAAUUUUCUAUAUAUUUUGGAAAUAAGGCCUUUAUCAGAACCUUUGACUGUAAAAAUAUUUUCCUAGUUUAUUGCUUCCCUUCUAAUGUUGUCUGCAUUAGUUUUGUUUGUACAAAAACUUUUCAGGUUGGUAUAAUCAAAAUUUUCUAUUUUGUGAUCAGUAAUGAUCUCUAGUUCUUCUUUGUUCAUAAAUUCCUUCCUCUUCCACAGGUCUGAGAGAUAAAAUAUCCUGUGUUCCUCUAAUUUAUUAAUAAUUUCAUUCUUUAUUCCUACGUUAUGAACCCAUUUUGACCUUAUCUUGGUGUACGGUGUUCAGUGUGGAUCAAUGCCUAGUUUCUGCCAUAUUAGUUUCCAAUUUUCCCAGCAAUUUUUGUCAAACAUUAAGUUCUUAUCCCAAAAGCUGGGGUCUUUGGGUUUGUCAAACACUAGGUUGCUAUAUUUGUUGACUGUUUUGUCCUUUGAACAUAAUCUAUUCCACUGAUCAACUAAUCUAUUCCUUAGCCAAUAGCAAAUAAUUUUGGUAACUGAGCAGCUAAAUUUCUAAAGGAGAGGUUAAGAGACCUGCAAGAUAAAACAGCAAAACCAUAAUAGUGGGAGAUCUCAACCUUGCCCUAUAAGAAUUAAAUAAAUCAAAGCACAAAAUAAAAAAGAAAGAAGUUAAAGAGGUAAAUAGAACACUAGAAAAGUUAAGUAUUAUAGAUCUUUGAAGCAAACUGAAUGAAGACAGAAAGGAAUAUAGGUUCUUCAUGGCAGUUCCUGGAACCUAUAUAAAACUUGAUCAUAUAUCAGUACAUAAAGACCUCAAGUUCAAAUGCAGAAAGGCAGACACAGAAAAUGCAUCAUUUUCAGAUCAUGAUGCAAUAAAAACUACAUUCAAUAAAAAGCAAGGUGGAAAUAAAGCAAAAAAUAAUUGGAAACUAAGUAACCUCAUUCUAAGGAAUGAUUGGAUGAAAUAGAAAAUCGUAGACACAAUUAAUAAUUUCACCCAAGAAAAUGACAAUAAUGAGGCUACAUAUCAAAAUUUGUGGAAUGUAGCCAAAGCACUUAUUAGAGGAAAUUUUUUAUCUUUAGAGCCUUUCUUGAAUAAAACAAAGAAAGAGAAGAUCAAUAAAUUGGGCUUGCAAUUUAGAAAAAGAGCAAAUUAAAAACCCCCAGUCAAAUACUAAACUUGAAAUUCUAAAAAUAAAAGGAGAAAUUAAUAAAAUUGAAAGUAAAAAACAAUUGAAUUAAUAAAACUAAGAGUUGGAUUUAUAAAAAAAACAACAAAAUAGAUAAUAAAACUUUGGUAAAUUUGAUUAGAAAAUGGAAAUAAAAAAAAUCAAAAUUUUAGUCUUGAAAAUGAAAAAGGAGAACUUUCCACCAAUGAAAAGGAAAUUAGAACAAUAAUUAGGAGUUAUUUUGCCCAACUUUACGCCAAUAAAUUUGAUAAUCUAGGUCAAAAGGAUGACUACCCCCAAAUAUAUAGGCUUCCCAGAUUAACAGAGGAGGAAUUAAAUUGCUUAAAUAGUCCCAUUUCAGAACAAAAGAAAUAAAACAAGGUAUUAAUCAACUCCAUAAGAAAAAAUCCCCAGGACCAGAUGGAUUUACAUUUGAAUUCUAUCAAACAUAUAAAGAACAAUUAAUUUCAAUGCUAUAUAAACUAUUUGUAAAAAUAUGGAAUGAAGGAGCCCCACAAAUUUCUUUUAUGAUACAUGCAUGGUACUGAUAUCUAACACAGGUAGGAUGAAAACCAAGAAAAAAAAUAUACACCAGUCUCCCUAAUGGAUAUUGAUGCAAAAAUAUUACAUAAAAUAUUAGCAAAAAGAUUACACAAAAUCAUCCCCAGGAUAAUACACCAUGACUAAGUAGGGUUUAUACCAGGAAUGCAGGACUGGUUCAAUAUUAGGUAACUAUUAGCAUAAUUGACUACAUCGAUAUCCAAAUUAACAAAAAACAUAUGAUCAUCUCAAUAAUUGCAGAAAAAGCACUUGAUAAAAUCCAACACCCAUUCCUAUUAAAAACAUUAGAGUGUAUAGGAAUAAAUGGACUUUUUCUGAAAACAUCAAUAACAUCUAUUUAAAACCAUUAGUAAGCAUCAUAUGUAAUGGGGAUAAACUGGAACUGUUCCCAGUAAAAUCAGGAGUGAAACAAGAUUGCCCAUUAUCACCAUUACUAUUCAAUAUUGUAUUAGAAAAGCUAGCUUUGGCAAUAAAAGAUGGAAAAGUUAGUUAAAUAAUUAGUAUAGGUAAUGAUGAAACCAAAUUAUCACUCUUUUCAGAUGAUAUGAUGGUAUACUUAGAAAACCCUAGAAAUUCUACUAAAAAGCUAUUAGAAAUAAUCCACAACUUUAGCAAAGUUGCAGGAUACAAAAUAAAUCCAAAUAAAUCAUCAGCAUCUUUAUACUCACUAAGAAAAUUCAAGAGCAAGAGAUACAAAGAUAAAUUCCAUUUAUAAUAACUGCUGAUAGUACAAAAUAUUUGGGAAUCUAUCUGCCAACGUGAAGUCAGGACAUAUAUGAGCAAAACUAGCAAAAAAUUUCCACACAAAUAAAGUCAGAUUUAAACAAUAGGAAAAAUAUUAAGUACUCUUGGAUAGGUUGAGGGAAUAUAAUAAAGAUGACAAUACUACCUAAACUUACCUAUUUAUUUAGUGCUAUACCAAUCAGACUCCCAAGAAACUAUUUUAAUGACCUAGAGAAUAAAAUUCAUCUGGAAGAACAAAAGGUCAAGAAUUUCAUGGGAACUUAUGAAAGAAAAAAUCAAAUGAAGGUGGCCUAGCUAUACCAGAUCCAAAACUAUAUUAUAAAACAGCAGUCACCAAAACCAUUUUGAAUUGGCUAAGAAAUAGACUACUUGAUCAGUGGAAUAGUUUAGGUGCACAGGACAAAAUUGUCAAUCACUAUAGCAAUCUAGUGUUUGAUAAACACAAAGACCCCAGCUUUUAGAAUAAGAAUUCACUGUUUGAUAAAGCUUCUGGGAAAAUUGGGAAUUAGUGUGGUAGAAAGUAGGCAUUGACCCACACUUAACACCAUACAUUAAGAUAAAUUCAAAAUGGGUUCAUGAUCUAGGCAUAAAGAAUGAGAUUAUAAAUAAAUUAGAAGAACAUAGGAUAGUUUACCUUUCAGACUUGUGAAGGAGGAAGGAAUUUGUUACCCAAGAAGAACUAGAGAUCAUUAUUUAUCAUAAAAUAGAAAUUUUUGAUUAUAACAAGUUAAAAAAAGUUUGUGUAAAAACAAAACUAAUGCAGACAAGAUUAGAAGGGAAGCAAUAAACUGGGAAAACAUUUUUUACAGUCAAAGGUUCUGAUAAAUGCCCAAUUUCCAAAAUAUAGAGAGAAUUCAUUCUAAUUCAUAAGAAAUCAAGCCAUUCUCCAAUUGAUAAAUGGUCAAUAGAUAUGAACAUAUAAGUUUUUGAUGAUGGAAUUGAAACUAAUUCUAGUCAUAUAAAAAUGCUUCAAAUAAUUAUUGAUCAAAGCAAUGCAAAUUACAACAACCCUGAGAUACCACUAUACAAUUCUCAGACUGGCUAAGAUGACAGGAAAAUAUAAUAAUGAAUGUUGAAGGGGAUGUGGGAAAACUGUGACACUGAUACAUUUUUGGUGGAAUUGUGAACAAUCCAACCAUUUUUAAGAGAAAAUUGGAACUAUACUCAAAACGUUAUCAAAUUGUGCAUAACCUUUGAUCCAGCAGUGUUACUACUGGGCUUAUAUCCCAAAGAGAUCUUAAAGAAGGGAAAGGGACCUUUAUGUGCAAAAAUUUUGUGGCAGCCCUUUUUUAGUGGCUAGAAACUGGAAAUUGAAUGGAUGCCCAUCAAUUGGAGAAUAGCUGAAUAAAUUGUGAUAUAUGAAUAUAAUGGAAUAUUAUUGUUCUGUAAGAAAUGACCAACAGGAUGAUUUCAGAGAGGCCUGGAGAGAUGUACAGGAACUGAUGCUAAGUGAAAUGAGCAGGACCAGUAAAUCAUUAUACACUUCAACAACAAUACUAUAUGAUGAUCAAUUCUGUUGGAUGUGGCUCUCUUCUAUAAUGAGAUGAUCCAAAUCAGUUCAAUUGUUCAAUAAUGAAGAGAACCAGCUACACCCAGCAAAAAAUUAUGGGAAAUCACUGAGGACCACAACAUAGCAUUGCCACUCUUUCUGUUAUUGUCUCCUUGCAUUCUCAUUUUCCUUCUCAGAUUAUUUUUACCUUCUUUCUAAAUCCAAUUUUUCUUCUGUAGUAAGAUGACUGCAUAUAUACAUAUACAUAUAUAUAUAUGCAUACAUAUAAAUAUAUCAUAUUUAACAUAUACUUUAACAAAUUUAACAUGCAUGGGACUACCUGCCAUCUAGGGAAGGGGUUGGGGGGAAGGAGGGGAAAAAUUAGAACAGAAGGUUUUGCAAGGGUCAAUGUUGAAAAAUUACCCAUGCAUAUGUUUUGUAAAUAAAAAGCUAUAAUAAUAAUAAUAAUAAUAAUAAAAGAAAGAAACUAAUUGGGAAAGGUAGGGAGCAUGGAACAAGUCUAUGUCUUAUAAGGUGAAAGUUAAGGAAGUAGAGAAUAUCUUUAGCCCUAGGGAGAAAAAUACCUUAGGUAGGCAUUAGAGGUGAGAGUUGGCUCAGAUACAUGUAAGGGGCAAUGCAAAGGAAUUCAGCAUCCCUGUACUUUUUAUUUGUAGAAUGGAGAAGUGGAAGGGGGUUAUUACUACUGCUUUUGAUAAAAUGCCCUCAGAGAAUUCCUUGGCUUUGUUCUGUCUUGGAACUGAAGGCAGGAAGUUGACCUAGUAUGAGGCAGGGGAGCCAAAAGAAAUCUUUCCUACCUAUAUAAUAUAUCUGGUAGGAAUAUGGAGUAGGAGGAAUUUAAUUAACCAUUUGGUAGGAGUUGAAUUGGCAUUCCCUGGUGCCACUAUUUGUGAGGGGAAAUUGAGAAUGAGUCAUCGCCUCUUCUCAGGGAGCUAAAUUAAUUAUAAGAAGUUUCCUUCACUAGUUGUCUGGUACUUUCACAUGGAGUUUAAAGUGAUACUGGACUUUCUCCUCAUAGAUUAGGGCAUUAGGUGUGACACAUCUUUGCAGCACACAUCCUUGAAACCCUUGGUUAAGGAGAUAAGGGGCUAUAGAUGGUUGAACUUGCGAGGAUAACUUCUGGAAUUAGAAUUGGUACUAGAGAAUUGUAGUUCAAGAAAACAAUAUGAUUCCAAAAGCAAUGAUUGCACUUCUCUGUCUCAUAAAUUUUGUCAAUAAUUUUUGGGGUUUUUUUCUAUUUUUUUAUUUUUCUCCUUUUACUUUUUAUGGAAUGGGAAACUGAACGUGUGAUAAUAAGUUUUAACACACAGAUACUCUGAUUUCUUUGGCUCUAGAUCUUAUUAAAUACUAUAGCACUAAUUAUAACAAGACAUUUAGAAUUAUCGGAAAGUGUAAUUAGCUACUUCAAGAGGUAGUGAAUUCACCUAAAGCAAGAACUGUUUGAUUUGUAUGUUGUAUAUCAACAUGUACUUCAGUUUUCACAGAAAUUGAGAACAAAAUAUUAUUGCAUUAUAUCUGAAAUCAUUAUUUUAUUGAUCAGAUAGAUGAGCUUUGAAGAUUUUCCCAUGCUGUAGGUUUAUUUGUCAUUUCUUAUGAUACAUUAUAAACAAAGUAAUUCUGAUUACAAGGGGCUAAUUUGUUGGUAAAUGUCUAAAAAUAUUUAGGUAGAUUUUAAUUUUUAAGGAUUCAGUGUAAUGUGAUGGAAAAAGUCAUGGAUUUGGAGUAAAUGGACUUUAUUUCAAUCCUGGCCACCCUGUGAUGAUGAAGAAGGCAUUAGACUUCUAUGAGCCUCAAUUUCCUCAUUUAUUAAAUGAGCAGGGGUAUAGUAGGUAGCCACUAAAAUUCUCUCCAAUUUAUCAAUAUGCUCCUGUGAUCAAGGAAGUAAAUUUGAUUUGAACUUCCUAAUGAUAUUUAGAUUUAUUAUCAUAGGUUAUCUAAUGAAUUUGCCUGUGUACAAAUGUGUGCAGUAAAGUCACUGGUAAAUUUUAAAUUACAAAUAUCCUUUGUCUUUCCUAAAUAAUGCCCUAAGAAAUAUUAUAAUUCUGUUAAAUACAUGAGACAUGUCUAAGACAAAUAUACUAUACUGAUAGAGCAUUAGUCCACAUUUUAAUUACUACUAUCAGCAUAAGCACAUCAAGUAUAUUUCAAACUUAGGUCUUAAAUUUUUAAAAGUCUGUUUGAUUUUCCAUUUAGGAAAAUUAUAAAUUUAGAAAAUUAUUUCACACUUCUUUAAACUAGGAGAACAAAAUAUCAUGAAGAAGAAAAUGUCUUAAAUACUAAAAUAUAAUAAUCUAGAUGAUGCACAAAAUUUAAUAGCAUUUUCACUUUUGAAACAUAUUCUUGUUUUCUAACAUGACAAAGCAAACCAAGCAUAAAAUUUAACUUGCUAAUAAAAAGUGGUGCUUUUCUUAUCUAUUUUUAUAGAUUAAAUUGUGUUUUACUGAUAUCCAAAUAACCAUAGCAUUAUAUUUUAUGUAGAAAUAUUGUCUAGAAUUAAUCACAAUGCCUUGUAUUAUAAUUUGUUAAAUAAAAUUUGUUAAUUGAACUUAUUAUCCCAGAAUUUCUCAUACCUAUUCUCUUUUCUUCAUUUUCCAUCCUUCCAGUCUAAUUCCUUCUGGGCUGAAAUAAUCUUGGCCUCUUUUUUGCUAAAUCCUCCCCAUUAUAAUCCAUUUUGCAUGCUACUGCUAGUUUAAUUUUCUUAAAACACAGGAUUAAAUCACAUCACUCCCUUGCUCACAUGCUAUUCAUAGAAUUACAUCACAUACAGAAUAAGGGUCAGAAUCCUAACUGUGUUAAUUGAGCCUCAUACUUUCCAUAAUCUAAAUUUGACUUGCUAGGUUUAUGUCUAACAUUUAGAAACACUGUCCCCAAAGCAACCAAUGUGUGUUAACUACACUGAAGGUACUCAAUAAGCUAUAAUUAAUUCAUUAAUUGAUUUGUGGACCCCAGAUAUUAUAAUAACUUAUUUAGGUGAAAACUAUUUGCCUUACAUUUAUGCCAGAUUAUAAGGGAAUUAUCCAUAGUUUUCUAUAGCAAACAGCCGAAUCUAAAAUCACAGAAUCUGGGAGCAGAAAAAAACCUUAGAGGCAAUGUAGUCUAAACCUUUGGCUUCACAGAUGAAGGAACUGAAGCAAUGAAGUGAUAUAAACAUGGGUAAAAAAAAUAAUUAGGUAAAGGAGCAGUUAUUCCUGAUAUUGGCAUUCUCCUGUAUGUCUGAAUGAUUGUAUUAAAUAGGGAAUUAAAGAAAUUAUAUAAGAUUAUAUAAUGUGCUUUGAAAAAGUACUUUCUUUUAUGUGCUUUAAAAAGAAAGCCACAGCCCAAAGAUUUAGUACUGGUUAUCUGCUUUUUACAAAGUAGAAAAUGAGGAUCAAAAAGGGUAAAUGUCUUGACCAACAUUAAAAAACUAGUGAGUUAUAGAGCCAUGAUUUAUUUUAGUUUUCUUAAAUAGAGACAUGAGAAACAAAUAAAAUGCUUUUCAGAAUUUAUUGGAAACUUGGGCAAAUAUUAAAUAAUAUGACUUGGGAAGUCUAUGUCACAGGAGGAAAGGAUCAAAUUUAAGAAUAUAUGAAAUGAAGAAUACAUGUCCUUUUGUAGGAAAGAUAUUGGAACACUACAUUGUAAGUAUAAUAAAUACAGAAACCACAGCACAUUGGUCCACAUAGACAGAAUACUGAGGACAUUACUGGGAGGCCACUGCUUGAAGUGUAAGUAGAACAGAAUUGUAUCACGGACAAAUUCAUAUUGGGAGUAUAGUCACAUGGUAUGGAAAAGAGCAUAGCUACUUAAGAAACCGGUCACCUUCCAUUCAGAUUCAUUAUUAUAAUUACAUGAAAAUUCCUGUUUCUAUCUUCUGAGUCUGUCAGUAUCCUCCAAAUGCUAACAUUCUACAACAAAGCUAUAAAACUGCAACCUUAUCUCUGUUUCUUGGCAUCAAUCUAGUGCUUCCCCCAUUACAGUACAUUAUCUUUCAUAAUCCAUUGUCCAAAUUAAUGGAAUCCCUACAUUUUCAAUACAACAGUUUUUAUAUCCCUGCUGAAUGGGAGGUUUUGGACUUGACAAAAUCUAAGUGAUUAGAAAACAAAUGACUGGUACAAAGCACAAUUCCAAUUUGAUUCGGUUUUGAAGCACUAAAAUACUAUUCCAGUGAACAUAAUAACUGUGAUACAAAUGGAAAAGUGGAACUGGAGCUCACAAGAAGAAUUUGAAGAUGGCUUUAAAUAGAUUUGAAAUUAUCUCCAAAAAGGAGCUAUGAAAAUAACCUUAUUAAGAAUUAAAGCCAAAUCCAUAUAUUUACUUUGUCAGUUUACAUAUUUUAGUAUUUUUAAAAAUAGACAUUUUAUGUUUAUAGCAGCCCUUUUUGCAGUGGCAAUGAAUUGAAAACUGAGUAGAUAAUCAUCAGUUGGAGAAUGGCUAAAUAAAUAAUGUUAUAUGAAUGUUAUUUCAGAAAGCCCUGGAGAGAAUUACAUGAAUUGAUGCUAAGUGAAGUGAGUAGAACCAAGAGAACAUUGUACACAGCAACAAGAAGAUUAUAUGACAAUCAAUUCUGAUGGACAUGCCUCUUUUCAACAAUAAGGUGAUCCAGGCAUGUUCCAAUGGUCCUAUAAUGGAGAGAGUCAUAUGCACCCAGAGAGAGGAUUGUGGAGACUGAGUAUGUAACACAACAUUCUAUUUUCACGUUUUUGUUGUUUUUUGCUUGCAUUUUGUCCUUUCUCAUUUUUUCCCAUUUUGAUCUGAUUCUUCUUGUGCAACAUGAUAAUUGUGUAAAUAUGUAUAGAAGAAUUACACAUGUUUAAAAUAUAUUGGAUUACUUGCCACCUAGGGGAGGUUUGGGAGAAAUGGAGGGAGAAAAAAGUAGAAUACAAGGUUUUGCAAAAGUGAAUGUUGAAAGCAAUCUAUGUAUAUAUAUUGAAAAUAAAAAGCUUGUAUCAAACUGUGCAUACCCUUUGAUCCAGCAGUAUUACUACUGGGCUUAUAUCCCAAAAAGAUUUUUAAAAAGGGAAAGGGACCUGUAUGUGCAAGAAUGUUCAUGGCAGCCCUCUUUGUAGAGUCCAGAAACUGGAAACUGAGUGUAUGCCCAUCAAUUGGAAAAUGGUUGAAUAAAUUGUGUAAAUAUGAAUGUUAUGGAAUAUUAUUGUUCUGUAAAAAGUGACCAGCAGGAGGAUUUCAGAAAGGCCUGAAGAGACUUACAUGAACUGAUGCUGAGUGAAAUGAGCAGGAUCAGGAAAUGAUUAUAUACUUUAACAACAAUAUUAUAUGAUGAUCAAUUCUGAUCGACGUGACUCUAUUCAACAAUAAGAUGAAUCAAAUCAGUUCCAUUUGUUCAAUAACAAAUAGAACCAGCUAUACUCAGAAAAAAAUCUCUGAUAAUGAGUGUGAACCACUACAUAGCAUUUCCAAUCCCUCUGUUUUUGUCCGCUUGCAUUUUUUAUUUCCUUCAUAGGUUAAUUGUACAUUAUUUCGAAGUCUGAUUCUUCUUGUGCAGCAAAAUAACUGUAUGGCUAUCUAUACAUACAUUGUAUUUAACACAUACUUUAGCAUAUUUAACAUGUAUUGGUCUACUGCCAUCUGGGGGGAGGCGGUGGGGGAAAGGAGGGGAAAAAUUAGAACAAAAGAUUGGCAAUUGUCAAUGCUGAAAAAAAUUCCCAUGCAUAUAUCUUUUUUUUAUACAUGACCAAACCGUUAUUUUGCUGUACAAAAAGAAUCAGACUCUGAAAUAUUGUAAAAUUAGCUUGUGAAGGAAAUCAAAGAUGCAGGUGGGCAUAAAUAUAGGGAUUGGGAAUUCAAUGUAAUGGUUUAUAGUCAUCACCCAGAGUUCUUUCUCUGGGCAUAGCUGGUUCAGUUCAUUACUGCUCCAUUGGAAAUGAUUUGGUUGAUCUCAUUGCUGAGGAUGGCCAGGUCCAUCAGAACUGGUCAUCAUAUAGUAUUGUUGUUGAAGUAUACAAUGAUCUCCUGGUCCUGCUCAUUUCACUUAGCAUCAGUUUAUGUAAGUUUCUCCAGGCCUUUCUGAAAUCAUCCUUUUGGUCAUUUCUUACAGAACAAUAAUAUUUCAUACUAUUCAUAUACCACAAUUUAUUCAGACAUUCUCCAACUGAUAGGCAUCCACUCAGUUUCCCGUUUCUAGCCACUACAAAGAGGGCACAUGCAUAUAUCUUGUAAAGAAAAAGCUAUAUAAAUAAAAAAGGGAAAAAAAGAAAAUAAAAAGCUUUAAAAAAAAAAAAGUGGAAGCUGCUGUGUCCUGCAUUUUGAAA
Molecule: long non-coding RNA, 12711 nt
Filed under: Sarcophilus harrisii (Tasmanian devil)
Lineage: Eukaryota; Metazoa; Chordata; Mammalia; Dasyuromorphia; Dasyuridae
Description: lncRNA (ENSSHAG00000020476.1)
Source: RNAcentral